AUAUAUAUAUAUAUAUAUAUAUAUAUAUAUAUAUAUAUAUAUAUAUAUAUAUAUAUAUAUAUAUAUAUAUAUAUAUGUGUGUGUGUGUGUGUGUGUGUGUGUGUGUGUGUGUAUAUAUGUGUGUGUGUGUUUUAAUUGAGCAUGUACUUUAUCGCUCAUUAUUUGUAUUAUUUUAUAGUCUUUGUUGCUCAUCAUUAUCAAAGGUGCUAAUCUUUUUGUACCUGGCUGUAUAUGCUCUGUAUUGCUAUGGGUAUUGGGGAUAUAUGCCAUAUUAUAUAGUGUAUAUUAUUCCUAUAUGACUAAUGUCAACUGUGCUGCUAUUGGUGUUUCAACAAAACAGCUCUGAGGGAUAAUGUAAUGUCGUUAUGAAUUAGGUUAAACCUCAUUCAAACCUCAUUCAAAACAGCUCUAAGGGAUAAUGUAAUGUCGUUAUGAAUUAGGUUAAACCUCAUUCAAAACAGCUCUAAGGGAUAAUGUAAUGUCGUUAUGAUUUAGGUUAAACCUCAUUCAAACCUCAUUCAAAACAGCUCUAAGGGAUAAUGUAAUAAGGGAUAAUGUAAUGUCGGAUAAUGUAAUGUCGUUAUCAAUUAGGUUAAACCUCAUUCAAAACAGCUCUGAGGGAUAAUGUAAUGUCGUUAUGAAUUAGGUUAAACCUCAUUCAAAACAGCUCUAAGGGAUAAUGUAAUGUCGGAUAAUGUAAUAAGGGAUAAUGUAAUAAGGGAUAAUGUAAUGUCGUUAUCAAUUAGGUUAAACCUUAUUCUUCUUGUUCGUUAUUUUUUUUUGCGCUAAACAACCGUUUAAUUUUUACA
Molecule: long non-coding RNA, 809 nt
Filed under: Salmo salar (Atlantic salmon)
Lineage: Eukaryota; Metazoa; Chordata; Actinopteri; Salmoniformes; Salmonidae
Description: lncRNA (ENSSSAG00000094429.1, ENSSSAG00000107427.1)
Source: RNAcentral